Vicia villosa (hairy vetch) is the source of this 351-nucleotide long non-coding RNA. RefSeq lists it as uncharacterized. The transcript has 4 exons. Lineage: Eukaryota; Viridiplantae; Streptophyta; Magnoliopsida; Fabales; Fabaceae. The record is from RefSeq and is a predicted model, not a curated record.
UGUUAUUCCUUUCUCAAUACAAACCCUUGAAUUCAUCAUCUCAUCAAUCAAUCUCAUAAUCAAUGGUCACCAGAAUCAUCUCAUCAUAAUGUUUUUGAAAUGACCUCCAAAAGAGAUGAACUGGUCCAGGCAAUCACUCAUGCAAAGGAAUCAUGCGACAUUGUUGUUCGGGUUAUUCACUUAUGAACAGCUUCACCCAUGGAACUUUCAAGGAGGACGUUUGACUCCCACCCAAGAUCAAAGAGCUCUUGAAAAUAACCCAAAAUAUUACAUGAUUUUGUAUAGAGUCAUACCUCAAGUCUUUAAUAUUGUUGCAGUAGAUGUUCCAAGGAUACUGGUCAUUAUUACAAG